RNAcentral lists this small RNA (1130 nucleotides) under Histoplasma capsulatum. RNAcentral describes it as "hypothetical RNA". RNAcentral also lists the same sequence under 1 other name. Lineage: Eukaryota; Fungi; Ascomycota; Eurotiomycetes; Onygenales; Ajellomycetaceae. The record is from RNAcentral.
UGCUUGGAUCUGUGAACGCAGAGACUCAACGACGGAUUUUACUCUGAGGGUUUGAGAGCGGUCCACUGAUGCUGCAUUCUCACUCCUCACCCUCAAUUCGUUGCAGUCUGCGGUCUACUUAACAUGCCUUUCACUAUACCAGCCAGCGGCCUCAGCCUCUCAGUUAGACCAUCUCCCGAAUACGAAGCAAGGCCUACACUGUAUUGUACCUAAGCUCAAGCUCCCUGGCACCACCAACUUCUUUCAACGGUCGACAUGUCUGCAUCGAAAAAAACUAACCCUACCUGUACCUAUUUUUACACCUUCCAUCCCUCGAAUCCGGGGGAGAGCAAAAGCCACACUACAAUUAGAUGAUAUUGUGAUAAGAGGGCUAGGAUGAAUUUGUGCUAUGCGAUUUUACGAGCUGACCCUGUCAGGAUGAAAUAACUAAAUAUAUAAUCUAUCAUUAUCCUCGGCUUGAAGAUACCAAGAAAAGCGCUGUCAUGGUGUAGCUUGCAAACGAAACAUACUCCAGGGAAGCAGGUUGCACCACACUUGAGCUGGGUAUCGUCGGCAUCGGAGGAUGAAGCCCCAAAGUCUCAUCGUUUCUGGACAGGGCAUGGGGAUGUGGUUUCAAAAUUGGAUAGUUAAACAUGUUUCGGACCAGAACCGUACAUGAUUUCAAUUCCCGGGUUGCAAAAAAAAAAAUAAAAAAAUAAAAUAAAAAAAUAAAAAAAAAAAGCCCAAAACAAAAACAAAAAACAAAAAACUACUCAGCGUUCUCAAAUGCUUGGACCACAUAUGUCAUAUCUCCCCAUCCAAUGGUGGUGGAUUUUUCGUAUUUCUCCGGCUCUUAGCUCUCAAGCUAAUCCUUCCUGGGGAAAAGCCCGAACUGUGAGAAUUUUUCCAUCUAGGGUUUGAAAGGGAAAAAGUUGGUGCAUGGGUUGAGAGAAAUGGCGACAGACGCGCAUAGCUGAUUACAUAGAGUCAUGCAUUUUUGAUAUUUAUUUAACCAUUGUCCGCAUACAUAGUGCGUGACGAUAGUGGUGUAUGAUGAUGUAGAGUCUGAAGAAAUAAAAUAAAGCUAGCUAUUUUGGGGGGGAAAAACAUGAAAUUGUAUAUAUGGCAAACGAACAAAAACUUAAGAAGCU